UUGCUUCAGCAGCACAUAUACUAAAAUUGGAAUGAUACAGAGAAGAUUAGCAUGGUCUAUGGGCAAGGAUGACACACAAAUUCGUGAAGCACUCCAUAUUUUU
Molecule: small nuclear RNA, 103 nt
Organism: Jaculus jaculus (lesser Egyptian jerboa)
Lineage: Eukaryota; Metazoa; Chordata; Mammalia; Rodentia; Dipodidae
Source: Ensembl